AGAGCGAACGCUGGCGGCAGGCCUAACACAUGCAAGUCGAACGGACCCUUCGGGGUUAGUGGCGGACGGGUGAGUAACACGUGGGAACGUGCCUUUAGGUUCGGAAUAGCUCCUGGAAACGGGUGGUAAUGCCGAAUGUGCCCUUCGGGGGAAAGAUUUAUCGCCUUUAGAGCGGCCCGCGUCUGAUUAGCUUGUUGGUGAGGUAAUGGCUCACCAAGGCUACGAUCAGUAGCUGGUCUGAGAGGAUGACCAGCCACAGUUGGGACUGAGACACGGCCCAAACUCCUACGGGAGG
RNAcentral lists this ribosomal RNA (295 nucleotides) under uncultured soil bacterium. Its description in RNAcentral is "partial 16S ribosomal RNA". It matches the Rfam family "Bacterial small subunit ribosomal RNA", at positions 26 to 348 of the family's 1533-position model. The record is from RNAcentral.